UUCAUCACCCUGUGACAUACCUAUAACGUUGCCUCGGCGGGAACAGACGGCCCCGUAACACGGGCCGCCCCCGCCAGAGGACCCCCUAACUCUGUUUCUAUAAUGUUUCUUCUGAGUAAACAAGCAAAUAAAUUAAAACUUUCAACAACGGAUCUCUUGGCUCUGGCAUCGAUGAAGAACGCAGCGAAAUGCGAUAAGUAAUGUGAAUUGCAGAAUUCAGUGAAUCAUCGAAUCUUUGAACGCACAUUGCGCCCGCCAGUAUUCUGGCGGGCAUGCCUGUUCGAGCGUCAUUACAACCCUCAGGCCCCCGGGCCUGGCGUUGGGGAUCGGCGGAAGCCCCCUGCGGGCACAACGCCGUCCCCCAAAUACAGUGGCGGUCCCGCCGCAGCUUCCAUUGCGUAGUAGCUAACACCUCGCAACUGGAGAGCGGCGCGGCCACGCCGUAAAACACCCAACUUCUGAAUGUUGACCUCGAAUCAGGUAGGAAUACCCGCUGAACUUAAGCAUAUCAAUAAGCGGAGGA
Molecule: ribosomal RNA, 523 nt
Filed under: Fusarium solani
Lineage: Eukaryota; Fungi; Ascomycota; Sordariomycetes; Hypocreales; Nectriaceae
Description: eukaryotic LSU rRNA
Rfam family: 5.8S ribosomal RNA (bases 137-290)
Source: RNAcentral